RNAcentral lists this ribosomal RNA (595 nucleotides) under Pseudophaeophleospora atkinsonii. Its description in RNAcentral is "eukaryotic LSU rRNA". The stretch from base 272 to 425 matches the Rfam family "5.8S ribosomal RNA". The record is from RNAcentral. Lineage: Eukaryota; Fungi; Ascomycota; Dothideomycetes; Mycosphaerellales; Mycosphaerellaceae.
UCGGACUGGCCCAGGGAGGUCGGCAACGACCACCCAGGGCCGGAAAGUUGGUCAAACUCGGUCAUUUAGAGGAAGUAAAAGUCGUAACAAGGUCUCCGUAGGUGAACCUGCGGAGGGAUCAUUACUGAGUGAGGGCUCACGCCCGACCUCCAACCCUUUGUGAACUAAACUUGUUGCUUCGGGGGCGACCCUGCCGGCUUUCGCCGGCGGGCGCCCCCGGAGGCCUUCAAACACUGCAUCUUUGCGUCGGAGUAUCAAUCAAAUUGAACAAAACUUUCAACAACGGAUCUCUUGGUUCUGGCAUCGAUGAAGAACGCAGCGAAAUGCGAUAAGUAAUGUGAAUUGCAGAAUUCAGUGAAUCAUCGAAUCUUUGAACGCACAUUGCGCCCUCUGGUAUUCCGGGGGGCAUGCCUGUUCGAGCGUCAUUUCACCACUCAAGCCUGGCUUGGUAUUGGGCGUCGCGGCUCCGCGCGCCUUAAAGUCUUUCCGGCUGAGUCGUCUGUCUCUAAGCGUUGUGGCAACUAUUCGCUUCGGAGUGCAGGCGGCCGCGGCCGUUAAAUCUUUCACAAGGUUGACCUCGGAUCAGGUAGGGAUA